UGACCCCGGCCCAGGUUAGAGAGCAGACCUGCAGCACCUUUCAAACAGACAGAAGACAAGCCUACCAGAGGGCUUUCUCUGGCUUCAGAGAAGAAUGUAAGUGCCAGGGAAUUCUUGCUCAGUAAGACACUCCUCAACCAGGAAGGAAAAGGCAUCAGAGAGAACAUGAGUUCCUUUCUCCUCAGAUGGAUGACCCUGAAACCCACCGAAAAGCUGUGAAGUUUUAUCUGAGAAGCAACAUUCCUUCCCACACCCAUCCUUCCCCCUCGCCUUGGAGUCCCCCUCAUCUUCCCACCCCACCAAGCUCUGGUCUGGCCAAGUGUUUCGUGUUCCAUCACAACCAUGUUCUAUGAAGGCGUUUCCAACUCUCUGACCUCGGUUUUGUCAUCACUCCUGCCGGGGAGCAUGGAAAAGGCCCGUGCAGAGAUGGGAAGACUGAGGCUUAGAGAGAGUAAGCAGCUAUUAAAGAUUGAAUCGGUCCUGGAACUCAGGAUCCCCAUGCUCCAUCCUUUUAAGCUCCCCAUAGUAUUUACUGUAAGUGUGUACUUUGUGAAAUAAAUGGUAC
Molecule: long non-coding RNA, 565 nt
Organism: Suricata suricatta (meerkat)
Lineage: Eukaryota; Metazoa; Chordata; Mammalia; Carnivora; Herpestidae
Exons: 6
Source: RefSeq, a predicted model, not a curated record